UCAGGAGAUACCUUGUUAAGUCCCCCCCCCGAGGACUGCCGCAGCAUUGUUAAUACUCAAAGGAGUUGACGGGGGGCCCCACAAGCGGUGCAGCAUGUGGUUUAAUUCGCCGCAACGGAACAACCCCACCUAUUUUUGACCUCCAGAGAACUUUCCAGAGAUGCAUUGGUGCCUUGGGGAACUAUGAGACAGGUGCUGCAUGGCUGUCGUCAGCUCGUGUUGUGAAAUGUUGGGUUAAGUCCCGCAACGAGCGCAACCCUUAUCUUUUGUUGCCAGCGGUCCGGCCGGGAACUCAAAGGAGACUCCCAGUGAUAAACUGGAGGAAGGUGGGGAUGACGUCAAGUCAUCAUGGCCCUUACGAGUAGGGCUACACACGUGCUACAAUGGCGCAUACAAAGAGAAGCGACCUCGCGAGAGCAAGCGGACCUCAUAAAGUGCGUCGUAGUCCGGAUUGGAGUCUGCAACUCGACUCCAUGAAGUCGGAAUCGCUAGUAAUCGUAGAUCAGAAUGCUACGGUGAAUACGUUCCCGGGCCUUGUACACACCGCCCGUCACACCAUGGGAGUGGGUUGCAAAAGAAGUAGGUAGCUUAACCUUCGGGUAGGGCGCGUAUACCUACCGUUUCGAUGGAUUCCAUGAAU
RNAcentral lists this ribosomal RNA (640 nucleotides) under Serratia marcescens. RNAcentral's name for it is "bacterial SSU rRNA". It matches the Rfam family "Bacterial small subunit ribosomal RNA", at positions 845 to 1482 of the family's 1533-position model. The record is from RNAcentral. Lineage: Bacteria; Pseudomonadati; Pseudomonadota; Gammaproteobacteria; Enterobacterales; Yersiniaceae.